Molecule: ribosomal RNA, 497 nt
Filed under: uncultured bacterium
Lineage: Bacteria
Description: partial 16S ribosomal RNA
Rfam family: Bacterial small subunit ribosomal RNA
Source: RNAcentral
GACGAACGCUGGCGGCGUGCCUAAUACAUGCAAGUUGAGCGAUGAAGCUUGGUGCUUGCCCCAAUUUGAAGAGCAGCGAACGGGUGAGUAACGCGUGGGGAAUCUGCCUUUGAGCGGGGGACAACAUUUGGAAACGAAUGCUAAUACCGCAUAACAACUUUAAACAUAAGUUUUAAGUUUGAAAGAUGCAAUUGCGUCACUCAAAGAUGAUCCCGCGUUGUAUUAGCUAGUUGGUGAGGUAAAGGCUCACCAAGGCGAUGAUACAUAGCCGACCUGAGAGGGUGAUCGGCCACAUUGGGACUGAGACACGGCCCAAACUCCUACGGGAGGCAGCAGUAGGGAAUCUUCGGCAAUGGACGAAAGUCUGACCGAGCAACGCCGCGUGAGUGAAGAAGGUUUUCGGAUCGUAAAACUCUGUUGGUAGAGAAGAACGUUGGUGAGAGUGGAAAGCUCAUCAAGUGACGGUAACUACCCAGAAAGGGACGGCUAACUACGUG